This is an RNA transcript of Micropterus salmoides (largemouth bass), 3627 nucleotides long. It is a transcript of the gene named cleavage and polyadenylation specificity factor subunit 3-like, with no coding region annotated. The transcript has 10 exons. The record is from RefSeq and is a predicted model, not a curated record. NCBI's taxonomy places the organism in Eukaryota, Metazoa, Chordata, Actinopteri, Centrarchiformes, Centrarchidae.
CGCGGAAUAGCUGAAGUUGUGAGUUAAUUUAGUAUUUGUGGAAGAUUUGUGAGUUUAUUCAGGUAAACAUGGCGUCUAAACGUAAAUGUGACGCCACGGUUCCUGCGGAGGAAAGUGACCAACUGCUCAUCCGCCCGCUAGGAGCAGGACAGGAGGUGGGACGGUCCUGCAUCAUCCUGGAGUUCAAGGGACCAAAGAUUCUGCUGGACUGCGGGAUCCAUCCUGGUCUGGACGGGAUGGACGCUCUGCCGUACAUCGACCUGAUCGACCCGGCUGAAAUUGACCUGCUGCUCAUCAGCCACUUCCACCUGGAUCACUGUGGAGCUCUGCCCUGGUUCCUGCAGAAGACCAGCUUUAAAGGACGCACCUUCAUGACUCACGCCACCAAGGCCAUCUACCGCUGGCUGCUGUCCGACUACGUCAAAGUCAGUAACAUCUCUGCAGACGACAUGUUGUACACGGAGACGGACCUGGAGGAGAGCAUGGAGAAGAUGGAGACCAUCAACUUCCACAGUGCGGACGGUAACAAGUGGUGAACACAGCGCGGGCUCUUCAGUCUCCACCGACCCUGGGUCUCCCCGACUGUAACACACAUUUCACCCAGACUGUUGAUGAAAAGGGGGGGUACAUGACCUCAGAACCACUACAAGACCAUGGGGGACGACUGAGACCUGGAGCUUAUUUUUCAUCCAAACUGGACUCUGUUGCAGCCAAACUGCCUGAGAGCUGUGGCGGCUGCUGAAAAAGCAGCCAUGGCAUCACGUGACAUUGUGGGUUAUUCAGACUUGACAUUGUUGGUUCCACAUGCUGUCGAUGAUUUUGCUUGAACAAAAAACAUCUCAUCUCUCCACAUCCAGGUGGCUGAGAUACAAGACCGUGUUGCUUGAUAUAUCUAACAUUACUGCACUGUACUGAAUCCUGCUACUCUCCUCCCAACUCCAGGUGAAGGACAGCCGCAUGAUUGUGUUGCAGUCAUAGCAGAAACCUGCUCUCUAAGGGCAGACUUGCAGGAGACUCCUCUAACAAACCCAGACAUGGAGUUGUUUGUGGACGGCUCAGCAUCACGUGAUCCAGCUCCUGGUCAAAAACGUCAUCCCGAAGGCCGCAGAGAAGAAACUGCACGAUCUGGAGCCAGGGGACUGGAUUGUGGGAAAGGACUUCAGGAGAAAGGGCUCGCAGGUGGACCGGACCAUUUCAGAUACUGCUAACAACAGAAACAGCAGUAAAAGUGGCUGAAAGAGCAACUUGGAUUCACGCCACCCACUGCAUACGAGUGCCAAAGCAACCAAAAGGCCUCAAACCAGGCGAAGAUGGAGAUCAGUGAUUGAGCUGAGCUUUCCCCUGCCUUGUGUUCCUAGGGAGGGAGGGGAGUGGAGGUCUCUGAGACCACCUAGAACCACUAAUCUCCCAAACACUCACCGCGGGCACACUGAAACCAACAGAUGGCUCUGGAGAGGUGACGGACCGAGACAAAACGGAGGCGUUGUUCUGCUCACUGUCAUCAUUUCCAAACAUGAAAACAACAAACUUGGCCUGACUGAGGGAAAGUUCCAGGCCGAAGAGGAGGAGAUGCACGUCCUCCCUGACAGCCCGGCUGGGCUGAAAGACAAUGCAUGGUAUGCAACCACGAUGACCACUUCAAGAAAAGUAACCAAUCAGAGCUGUUAUGCGUGUGCACAGCUCCCUCAUGGAGUGGGGAACUCCAUACCAGUGAAACCCAGACCAAUAAAUGUUUCAGAGACACUAGGAGCCCUGUUAACCUUCACUCAAGGGUUUCCCAGGGUGGGCCGAGAAGUUAAGGAUAUGACCAAGACACUUAACUGUGUAACAUCAGCAUGGUCAACUUUAGGGUUAGGUUCUGGAACACGUCUCAGAUAACCACCAGAUGUACCUUGGACAUGGGUGUCUUUCUAUAGGCCCUUUUUUAGCCGACGUCAGAGGUACGUCACAGCGUUAGCUGGAGGCAAAACAAACGGACAACCGGAGGCGGCCAAUACAAACCAGCACAGGGUCGGCUACACAAGGAGCUUAAAAUGUCAUCUUGUUGUGUUGUCAGAAUCGACGGAGUACAGGCAAUUUGAAAUUUUAUCGCAUACCUGCUGCCACUGCCAUACAAAAACCCGAAGACAGCUGUGGUUAAACGCAAUAAAACGAGCGGACUGGACAGAAACGAUCAUCAAAAAUUCUCGCGUAUGCAGCGCACACUUCAUAUCAGGACAGGCUUCUAUGGAUGAAGACAGCCCUGACUUCGUCCCGUCUGUCUUUUCCUAUAAAUGGCAGAAUGACAGGCCUGUGGAAAAGCUGGAGAGGCUGGAAAGAAAGAGGAAACGGGAAUGUUCAACAGUGGAGCAACAGGCUUCUUGCCAUGCUAAUGAUGAUCCAGUGACACCAGAGGAAGCAGUGGAAGAAGCUGAGGCUAUGGUCCCUGAAGCAGCAUACAACAGUCUCAGUGAGAAGUAUGAUCAACUCAACACUGAAUAUGUCAACUUAAGAAAAGACUUUUACCAACUUAAAGAGGAGAAUGAAAGACUGAAAUAGGAGCUUCAGAAAUCACGCUUCUCAUUCUCCACGAUCAAAAACAAUGCUGCACACUUUGUUUCUCACUGGGUUAACUUCAGUCAUCUUCAGUUGGUUAAUGUCAAAAAUUGAAGACAGUGUGCAGAAGCGAACUGAAAGUCUCAUGCUAGAAGAUCAUUUAUUAGUCGUUCUUAUGAAACUGAGAUUGGGGCUCAGUAACAGAGAUAUUGCAUAUAGGUUCAAAGUUUCUGAAAGCACAGUGUCAAACAUUCUAAGGUCCUGGUUGCCUGUAAUGGCAAACAUCUUGAAAUCCAUUAUUAAAUGGCCAAGUAAAGGUGCUGUCCUUAAAAAUAUGCCCAAAAGUUUCAGGCGACAUUUCAAGAGAUGCAGGUGUAUAAUUGACUGUACAGAGAUAUUCAUAGAAAGACCUAAUAACUUGACUGCCAGGGCUCAAACCUGGUCCAAUUACAAGCAUCACAACACUGUUAAGUACCUGGUGGGAAUAACACCUGCUGGGGCAGUUUCAUUUCUGUCCACGGGCUGGGGUGGGAGAGUGUCAGAUAAACAGAUAACACUUGAAUCAGGAUUUUUGCACUUGUUGGAGCCCAAAGAUGAAAUCUUAGCGGACAGGGGGUUUUUGAUCAGGGAUCAACUUGCUGCUUAUGGUGCCACUUUGCGUAUACCAAAUUUUACCAAAGGAAAGAGUCAGUUACCUGCUUGUGAAGUAGAUUCAUCCAGACAACUGUCACGUGUGAGAAUACAUGUAGAGAGAGUUACAAGCAGAUGGAAGAGUUUCAAAAUUUUGCAUUCUGUUAUUCCUAUUUCCCAAGUUAGCCUUUUGGAUGACAUGGUGAUUGUGUGUGGUGCUCUUACCAAUUUGUGUAAAUCUGUGGUACCCAGAAAAGAGAGAGUGUGUCGUGUAUGAAAUAUCAGUGUUGUGUGUACAACAAUAUACUGAUGAUUUAUAUGCUUUUCACUCUAAUUCAAUUGAGAAUUGUUUUAAUUAAUUGUGAAUCAUCUGUGAUUGUAUAUACAUUGUUGUUAAUUGUGAGUGGAAUUUUUAAGAACCUGGUAAGAAAGAAUAAUUAAAUACAGAAGUUUUAUAAUUAA